GCGGACUACCGGGGUAUCUAAUCCUGUUUGCUCCCCACGCUUUCGAGCCUCAGCGUCAGUUACAGACCAGAGAGCCGCUUUCGCCACCGGUGUUCCUCCAUAUAUCUACGCAUUUCACCGCUACACAUGGAAUUCCACUCUCCCCUUCUGCACUCAAGUCUAACAGUUUCCAAAGCGAACAAUGGUUAAGCCACUGCCUUUAACUUCAGACUUAUUAAACCGCCUGCGCUCGCUUUACGCCCAAUAAAUCCGGACAACGCUCGGGACCUACGUAUUACCGCGGCGGCUGGCACA
This 294-nucleotide unclassified non-coding RNA is filed under the name uncultured Streptococcaceae bacterium. RNAcentral's name for it is "contains 16S-23S intergenic spacer region". The record is from RNAcentral. Lineage: Bacteria; Bacillati; Bacillota; Bacilli; Lactobacillales; Streptococcaceae.